AAGAUUGCUCUAUCAGAGUGAGGUAGUAGAUUGUAUAGUUGUGGGGUAGUGAUUUUACCCUGUUCAGGAGAUAACUAUACAAUCUAUUGCCUUCCCUGAGGAGUAGAC
This is a microRNA precursor of Vombatus ursinus (common wombat), 108 nucleotides long. Ensembl annotates it as microRNA let-7f-1. The record is from Ensembl. NCBI's taxonomy places the organism in Eukaryota, Metazoa, Chordata, Mammalia, Diprotodontia, Vombatidae.